AUUGAACGCUGGCGGCAUGCCUUACACAUGCAAGUCGAACGGCAGCACGGGAGCAAUCCUGGUGGCGAGUGGCGAACGGGUGAGUAAAGUAUCGGAACGUGCCCAGUCGUGGGGGAUAACGUAGCGAAAGUUACGCUAAUACCGCAUACGAUCUAUGGAUGAAAGCGGGGGAUCGCAAGACCUCGCGCGAUUGGAGCGGCCGCUAUCAGAUUAGGUAGUUGGUGGGGCAAAGGCUCACCAAGCCGACGAUCUGUAGCUGGUCUGAGAGGACGACCGGCCACACUGGGACUGCGACACGGCCCAGACUCGUACGGGAGACAGCAGUGGGGAAUUUUGGACAAUGGGCGAAAGCCUGAUCCAGCCAUGCCGCGUGCAGGAUGAAGGCCUGCGGGUUGUAAACUGCUUUUGUACGGAACGAAAAGGUUUGGGCUAAUAAGCUGAGCUCAUGACGGUACCGUAAGAAUAAGCACCGGCUAACUACGUGCCAGCCGCCGCCGUAA
RNAcentral lists this ribosomal RNA (500 nucleotides) under uncultured bacterium. RNAcentral describes it as "partial 16S ribosomal RNA". It matches the Rfam family "Bacterial small subunit ribosomal RNA", at positions 30 to 523 of the family's 1533-position model. The record is from RNAcentral.